Molecule: long non-coding RNA, 236 nt
Filed under: Elaeis guineensis (African oil palm)
Lineage: Eukaryota; Viridiplantae; Streptophyta; Magnoliopsida; Arecales; Arecaceae
Description: long non-coding RNA (EGUI_LNC026749)
Source: RNAcentral
UGUUCAAACAAGAACUUCCAAUGUGUCGUGAACGUAACCAAACAAUCACACACACAAACCACAAGAGAAAACACAAAGAUUUAUGUGGUUCAGAGGAAAAACCUCCUACUUCCAUGGAGAGAGUACCGAGAGAAAUCACUAUGUAAUAGAGAAAUAAAUACAGAGAAUUGAUCUUACACCACACUGAUCGUUCUCCAAGAGAGAUACCAAACUUCGUACUUCUCUUCCAGCACUCC